Molecule: long non-coding RNA, 961 nt
Filed under: Phasianus colchicus (ring-necked pheasant)
Lineage: Eukaryota; Metazoa; Chordata; Aves; Galliformes; Phasianidae
Description: lncRNA (ENSPCLG00000006323.1)
Source: RNAcentral
GUCAUGUCAAUCAAUGCCAAAGAGAAAGAGGAGACUGACUGACUGAUCAAUGAAUAUGCAUAGAUCCAAACAGUAAAGGAGCUCCUGUUGGGCUCAGAGGUACUGUUCUUCUCAUCUCUUACAAGAGUUGUUCCUGCAUGCUGAAAGUCCUGCUGAGGAAGGAUGGGACAGUUACCAUUGGGUGUGUUUAAAAUGCUGCAGUCCUAAACACUUUGAUGCUUUUCAAAGGGAAUAGACAAACUUAGUAAAUUGUUAAAAGAAUGUUAAAAACAGACAAAGAAAAGGUAUCAAAGAGAAAUUAAAAGAAAUACAUAAAUAUAUAUAAAGACUGGCAUUUGUCAAAUACUAUUUCAUACAUCAAAUAUUAAUCGUAACAAAGGAUGUAGCUUGUUUAAAAUCUGCAUAUUAAUACACAGAGAAUAUUAUACUAUAAAGUGAGUAAUCAUUUGGAUAUAUGAUACUUGUGCGUGACAAUCCAUCACUAUCCUUAUUUGCUUUACAAAUUGCUACGUGGAACUGAUUAAUGGUGUUUUGUUCAUUAACAAGAGAGUCCUAGUUAUUUCUAACAUUCUCGAGGUUUCAGAUUUACUUAUGAAUAGAUCCUUGUAUUUUCAGAAUGCAAUAAGAUUGCUGUUUGAUGUUUUGCUCACUGGCAGUAACUGUCACCCUCCGUGGGCUAUGGAUGGAGAGGUGUCUGCAGCUAAGUGAAGUGAAAGCACAUGCUAUUGAUUGCCCACAGUUGGACCAUGGCACUGAGGCUGCAGCCUGAUGAUCUUAAACCUUGCUGGUGUUUUGUCUCAGUUACAUGAGAAGUGUAUGCUGGUGGCACAGUACCAAGGUAUCUCUGAAACUUCCAAAGCUGGCUGGAGCUGAAUGUUUUUACAAGAAGACAACCAAGCCUGCUUUUUAUUUUCCCAACCCAUCCUUACUGUGUACCUCAUCUCACCUUCCAGCAAACUGA